RNAcentral lists this ribosomal RNA (494 nucleotides) under uncultured bacterium. Its description in RNAcentral is "partial 16S ribosomal RNA". It matches the Rfam family "Bacterial small subunit ribosomal RNA", at positions 28 to 507 of the family's 1533-position model. The record is from RNAcentral.
GACGAACGCUGGCGGCGUGCUUAACACAUGCAAGUCGAACGGAAAGGCCUGCUUUCCCUUGUGGAUUGCGGGUACUCGAGUGGCGAACGGGUGAGUAACACGUGAGUGAUCUGCCCCCAACUUGGGUAUAAGCCUGGGAAACUGGGUCUAAUUCCCGAUAGGACUGCAGGGUGGUGCCUAUGGUGGAAAACGAUUUUCUAGUGGUUGGGGAUGAGCUCGCGGCCUAUCAGCUUGUUGGUGGGGUAAUGGCCUACCAAGGCGGCGACGGGUAGCCGGCCUGAGAGGGUGGACGGCCACAUUGGGACUGAGAUACGGCCCAGACUCCUACGGGAGGCAGCAGUGGGGAAUAUUGCACAAUGGGCGGAAGCCUGAUGCAGCGACGCCGCGUGGGGGAUGACGGCCUUCGGGUUGUAAACUCCUUUCGACCGCGAGGAAGCCACCUGGUUGGAAGGGUGGUGACGGUAGUGGUAGAAGAAGCACCGGCUAACUACGUG